GCAAGCCAGAGCCAGCCUCGGGGUGCGGAGCCCAGCGCGCCCGCCUGGCCGCGGCGCCCGGGUGGGGGCGUCCCCGGCACGGGGUCCCAGACCAGCUUGGGGCGAGGGUGCAUGGUGGGGGAGGGCGGGGGAGAUCCCGGGGCUGUCCGGAGGGGCGGCCGCCUGGGCAAUCCCUCUCUCCGGCCCGCAGCACCUUUGCACUGCCGGUGUUGAGGGCGGCCCAGCCGAGGCUCCGAGAAAAAGGACGCCGCUGGACCCAGUGACUUUCAAUGAGAAUCUCAAGAUCUUCCGUGGGGGAAUUUAGUAUAGACGCAGCGGAAUGAGAGGGGACCAUCCCAGGUGUUGCGAGUCUCCCAGUAGUAUGUUGAGAUGCUUGGGAAAGGGUUCCGAACAGGGGUACCCGCGCUCGCCGCAGUUCCUGCGGGCCACCGACCGGGCGAGACACGUUCGCGCGCGGCGUGGGACUGGUGGCCAAGACCGGGCUCAGCCUGAGGCAACCUCUCAGAGGUUUGUCCCGCGUUUCCAAAGGUUGGUCUAAGACUCCCUCCUUCCAGAGCCCCCACGUGUAGCUAAGCCGCGCACUGCAGGCGCCAAUCCUGAGAAGCAGGUUCCUGGCCCUAGGUGGGCGGAGAGAAGCCCCCGGCCGCCACCCCCGCCCUCAGUUUAAAUCACUCGCGCGCACUAAGCGGGAGAUAGUCCCUGCAGUGUAAAUAAAGAGGAGUUAGCACUGCGGGGAGAAUUGGCUGCAGCUUUGCGGGCGUCCAGAAACACGGUGCCUGCAUAUCUCCAAGUACACAAAUAAUCCCCCAGCUAGGCAAAGUUUGCGUCAAGAAAGUGAGUCUGAAAACGUAUCUACGUUAUCCAGAGACGUGACUUGACGUUUGCUGGAUCCUGGCGCGCCGGCAUCAGUGAGAGCCUCUGUGGGCUAGCACACAAAAUGUGCUGCAACCCCAUUUGGGUGUUUAGCAGGGGAGCUGGUGUCCUGGUGGAUGGCUUCUGAUGCGGAGAUAAGGCAGUUUUCCCAUUUUGGCAAUGGAGGAGUGUUCACCAUAUUUGGAUUUGCUUCAGUUCUCCAACUCUCUGAAUUCGCUCAGCUUCUGUGAAAGUUGGUGAUGGCUGAGAGGGGAAAUUACAAACUUUACCUACAACCAGUUUGACAGCAGAAUUUCUUGAGAAUCAAGAAUCAACACUGGGUUAUUAACUAAAAUUAAGCUUUGAAAGACUGCAGCAGGGGAACAUAGCCAUCUGCAAACUUGAACAUGAAAAAUGAUCUUCCAUCUGGGAGGUCUUCCUCUUCUGAAACCGUCAGGGGUGUGAGAAUGAGCUCCUUCUCAAAGGAACUCACCCAGAGGAGCCAAAUUGUUCUUUUCCAAAAGCAAAGAAGGGAGCUGCUUGCAGCAUCCCUCAUCAACCUCCUCCGGAUGUCACUUGUGUGUAAGCUGUGCCCUCUUCCAGGGCAUCUGGACUGGAAGCUGAAAUCCUGCCUUGGUUCCACUCACCAACGAGCGCCUAUGGGUGCUUGGCUGUUGUCUACCCCAAAAUUGAGGCUCCUUUUUCUCUUUUGUAUCAAGGCACUUUAAAUGAACUGUUGCCAACAACGAUUCACUCACUCCCAUGCCCCAAUUCCAUUGGAGUUAUAUUUCUUACUUUGAAUUGUAAAAGAUCUAAAUUGAAAUUAAUUUUAUAUGUAAAGCUAAAAAUAUUACCAUGUAUGUUUAUGAUGUUUUCUAUGUAUGUAUAUGUGUAAGUAUUACUUAAUUCCAUUUCAACAAAUAUCUAUUAAG
Long non-coding RNA from Ochotona princeps (American pika), 1784 nucleotides. RefSeq lists it as uncharacterized. NCBI's taxonomy places the organism in Eukaryota, Metazoa, Chordata, Mammalia, Lagomorpha, Ochotonidae. The transcript is spliced from 3 exons. The record is from RefSeq and is a predicted model, not a curated record.